AGAGUUUGAUCCUGGCUCAGGAUGAACGCUGGCGGUCUGCUUAACACAUGCAAGUCGAACGGAAUCUUUCGGGAUUUAGUGGCGGACGGGUGAGUAACGCGUGAGAAUCUGCCUUCAGGUUCGGGACAACAGCUGGAAACGGCUGCUAAUACCGGAUGUGCCGAGAGGUGAAAGCUUAAGUGCCUGGAGAUGAGCUCGCGUCUGAUUAGCUAGUAGGAGUGGUAACGGCACCCCUAGGCGACGAUCAGUAGCUGGUCUGAGAGGAUGAUCAGCCACACUGGGACUGAGACACGGCCCAGACUCCUACGGGAGGCAGCAGUGGGGAAUUUUCCGCAAUGGGCGAAAGCCUGACGGAGCAAUACCGCGUGCGGGACGAAGGCUUUUGGGUCGUAAACCGCUUUUGUUAGGGAAGAACACAAUGACGGUACCUAACGAAUCAGCAUCGGCUAACUCCGUGCCAGCAGCCGCGGUAAUACGGAGGAUGCAAGCGUUAUCCGGAAUUAUUGGGCGUAAAGCGUCCGCAGGUGGUUUAUCAAGUCUGCUGUCAAAGCGUGGGGCUUAACCCCAUAACGGCAGUGGAAACUGAGAGACUAGAGUACGGUAGGGGUAGCGGGAAUUCCCAGUGUAGCGGUGAAAUGCGUAGAUAUUGGGAAGAACACCAGCGGCGAAGGCGCGCUACUGGGCCGAAACUGACACUCAUGGACGAAAGCUAGGGGAGCGAAAGGGAUUAGAUACCCCUGUAGUCCUAG
RNAcentral lists this ribosomal RNA (749 nucleotides) under uncultured cyanobacterium. RNAcentral describes it as "bacterial SSU rRNA". It matches the Rfam family "Bacterial small subunit ribosomal RNA", at positions 8 to 799 of the family's 1533-position model. Lineage: Bacteria; Bacillati; Cyanobacteriota. The record is from RNAcentral.